AGAAGAACUCAGUCCCUUAGAUGUUCAUAAUAAUGCGAUCAUUAC
This 45-nucleotide small RNA is filed under the name Arabidopsis thaliana (thale cress). Its description in RNAcentral is "ATSL301900". Lineage: Eukaryota; Viridiplantae; Streptophyta; Magnoliopsida; Brassicales; Brassicaceae. The record is from RNAcentral.